RNAcentral lists this ribosomal RNA (320 nucleotides) under uncultured bacterium. RNAcentral describes it as "bacterial SSU rRNA". It matches the Rfam family "Bacterial small subunit ribosomal RNA", at positions 85 to 422 of the family's 1533-position model. The record is from RNAcentral.
CGCAAGAGGAGCGGCAGACGGGUGAGUAACGCGUGGGGAUGUACCCAAAGGUGCGGAAUAACUCAGGGAAACUUGAGCUAAUACCGCAUGUGCCCGAGAGGGGAAAGAUUUAUCGCCUUUGGAUCAACCCGCGUCAGAUUAGCUAGUUGGUAGGGUAACGGCCUACCAAGGCGACGAUCUGUAGCUGGUCUGAGAGGAUGAUCAGCCACACUGGGACUGAGACACGGCCCAGACUCCUACGGGAGGCAGCAGUGGGGAAUAUUGGACAAUGGACGCAAGCCUGAUCCAGCCAUGCCGCGUGAGUGAUGACGGCCUUAGGG